Arvicola amphibius (Eurasian water vole) is the source of this 290-nucleotide long non-coding RNA. RefSeq lists it as uncharacterized. Lineage: Eukaryota; Metazoa; Chordata; Mammalia; Rodentia; Cricetidae. The record is from RefSeq and is a predicted model, not a curated record. The transcript is spliced from 2 exons.
CAACCCACGAAGCAGAGGGAGAGCAAAUGGAAACCUGUUGAACUCGUCUUUCUGGGAGAGGACGCUAAUUGGCUAAGCAGGUGAGUCUGAUCUUCAGUGAGUACAACAACAACAACAACAACAACAAAACACCCACAGUGUUCCCGAGAAGAUGAAGACCCUGUUUUCUUGCCCUCCAGUGGGGUGCUUGUAGGAUUAUAGAAGCCAGAAUCACUCUAGAAACUACAGGGAAAUCCUGUCUUGAAAAAACCAAAAAAAAAAAAAAAAAAAAAAAAAAAAAAGAAGAAGAA